AGAUGGCUGGAUUUACUAUCAAUUCAGUCUUUAUUACGUUUCCACUGAGAUGAAGAACUGGACCGAGAGCAGAAGAUACUGUACAGAGAGAGGAGCAGAUCUAGUGAUCAUUAAUAACAGCCAAAAACAAGAAUUGGUAAAGAAAAUAUCCUGUGGAGCUCAAACCUGGAUUGGUCUGACUGACGAUGAUGUGAAUGGCACAUGGACAUGGGUUGAUGGCAGCACACUGACCUCUGGGUUCUGGAGGCCCGACGAGCCCAAUGGACAUUUAAGAGAGAACUGUACUGUCACUCAUUCAUCAGGAUGGGCUGAUUAUUCAUGUACUAUCUUGUUCAAAUGGAUCUGUGAGAAGAAACAUUUUAAAUGACUUGUUUAUUUUAAGUGUAGACAUGCAUUUAGCAUCAU
Molecule: long non-coding RNA, 405 nt
Organism: Carassius gibelio (silver crucian carp)
Lineage: Eukaryota; Metazoa; Chordata; Actinopteri; Cypriniformes; Cyprinidae
Exons: 3
Source: RefSeq, a predicted model, not a curated record